AGAACGCGAGGCAGGACGCUGGGGAAGGCUGGGCAUCUUCAGCCUGCGCGCUGCAACUAUGGCUUGCGGGGUAGUCUUGGAGGCGGGACCGUCGCUUUCGCAGGGACGCAGGUGACACCUCUUCCAGUCGGUCCUCAGACUCCGGGAAUGAUUCUUGUGGUUACCCUGAUGCGAUUCCGCCAGAGUCCUCCAAUUGGCCUGGGCAGUAGCCAUCGGGUGCAAAGCGGCUUGGGAAAAUGCACGGCUGUCAAGUACAUAGUCCAUAAAGGUGAGAGGUACGGCUAAGUCUCCAUGCGCCCUCUUAGCUGGCAGUACCUGGGAUCACUCCUGGAGCCCUCAUUUCAGAUUCUGCAGGAACUCCAGGGCUCAUGUUGUCAUUCAGAGGCAAGGACAAGAGGGAGGAAGACCGGGCUCAAUGGAAACCCCUCAGAAUUCCAGCACUUGGGAGGCGGAGACAAAAGCAUCAAUAGUUCCCAGUCAUCCUUGGCUGUAUACGGAGUGGGUGCAGCCAGCUGGGUUAAAAAGAGUAAAGGGACCCAGAGUUAAGGUUAUCACUACUUUCAGGUGUCCAGUGGCCUGUCCACAAGAUUAUCUACGAAGGGAUUCUCAGAUUCUCAACUCAAUUGGACUGUCCUGUUGGCCUGGGUUUCUUUUGUCCAAAUGAUGUAGAUUGUAGGGGUCCCCCAGCCCAGUCUCAAGUUGUACCCCCAGAGGUUGGGGGUCUUAUCAUUUCUGUCUUGGUGAUACUUCCUUCUGGAAACAGAAGUUGUUAUAUGAGACAGCCUUGGCCCAGCUAUUCCACUUCUACAGACGGACUGGGUGUGCUGCCACCCCAUAUUUUUAUAAGGAGCCAACACGGCUCUUUUGUGACUAAGAGGACAUUUUGCACUGUGGAGUCAGUAGACUUCAAACUCCAAGCCUCCAAAUGCCUUCACCAUCAUGGUGCCCAGCCCAAGAACCUGUCCUCUUAACACUGAUAAGUUACCUGGAGAGCCCCCUUGUGGUUACAGUCAGUGUUAACACCCAAGGCCCCCCUGAAGAAGUGUUUAUAGAGCGGGGUCCUGGAGUCCCUGAGGCAGAACCGUACAAGAGCUUGGUCUGGCCAAAACUACAGCUGAAAUUGCUCCACAAACUGAGCUGGUGGAAGUAAAAAGUUCUGGAUUCACCCCACAGAUAACUUUCAACCUGGUCAUUAUGUCCCUAUACUUUUGUCACUUUUAAGUGACUUACUCUAGUCAAGUUAGUAGGACAGGAGAUAUGCCCUACCCCAAUGGAAGGGCAGUGGCCUCUUGGAAGGUGGUGUGAGCAGGGAUCAGCUAAACAAUCUGGGUGCAAACCUGGGCAUGAGGCCCUGUUCUCUGCAAGUCACUGCAGCCUCAAUGGCGGAAUGGGGACAGUAGCAAUGGUUCCUUUAAGGGACUUGGGAGAGGAAGCUCAGUGGUCAGAUCAGCUAGCGAGUGCAGCAGUCCUGAAAUGGAUAGUGCCAUCCAUUCACUCCUAUAGGACUGGUGCUCCCCACAAGACGUACAAGUCUUGACCACAAACUGUGUACCUCACAUCCCCUUAACAUUGAGUUCUGCUAAGUAAGAUGCCUUUAUUCUUUAUUCUAAGGGAGAGCCCUCCACCUGAGGACCCAAUAUGUCUUUACACAUAGAAGCAGAUAUGACCAAACCCUUUAGGCUCUUCAGGGGACAAAACAGGGUGUUGGGUGGUGACAGACUAUGACCUGCAAGAAGUUGAUGCUGACUAACCGCUCAGGCUCCACAGGAACAGGGAGUAGAACAGGGAAACCAUAAAGAGCAACUCGGGGGUUUUAUUCACUUAUUUAUUCACCGAUUAAACAACCAGUGGACACACCUCUGUAAUUUAAAAAAAAAAAAAAAAAA
RNAcentral lists this long non-coding RNA (1886 nucleotides) under Mus musculus (house mouse). Its description in RNAcentral is "RIKEN cDNA 5033417F24 gene (5033417F24Rik)". The record is from RNAcentral. Lineage: Eukaryota; Metazoa; Chordata; Mammalia; Rodentia; Muridae.